Long non-coding RNA from Octopus sinensis (East Asian common octopus), 254 nucleotides. RefSeq lists it as uncharacterized. The record is from RefSeq and is a predicted model, not a curated record. The transcript has 3 exons. NCBI's taxonomy places the organism in Eukaryota, Metazoa, Mollusca, Cephalopoda, Octopoda, Octopodidae.
UCAGGGUGAUAGUAGAUGGAUUAAACAAUGUUUUACACAAAAUCCACGUUUGCAACCAUCUUGAGGUGAUGAGCUUAAUGCUGAACUAUGGGGCUAAUGUCAAUAUACAAAAUGAUGAAGGUCAUAGUCCACUAUGUCUGGCCAUUAUUAUGAACUAUAUAAAUCUGGUUAAGCCGUUACUUGAAGCUGCAAGAGACAGUGUUAAGGUAUGCAUGAGAAACACUGAUGACACUCAGGCAGGAAUAUUCCAGGUA